This 820-nucleotide ribosomal RNA is filed under the name Sclerophomella petasitis. RNAcentral's name for it is "eukaryotic LSU rRNA". It matches the Rfam family "Eukaryotic large subunit ribosomal RNA", at positions 66 to 904 of the family's 3401-position model. The record is from RNAcentral. Lineage: Eukaryota; Fungi; Ascomycota; Dothideomycetes; Pleosporales; Didymellaceae.
CAACAGGGAUUGCCCUAGUAACGGCGAGUGAAGCGGCAACAGCUCAAAUUUGAAAUCUGGCGUCUUUGGCGUCCGAGUUGUAAUUUGCAGAGGGCGCUUUGGUAUUGGCAGCGGUCCAAGUUCCUUGGAACAGGACGUCACAGAGGGUGAGAAUCCCGUACGUGGUCGCUAACCUUUACCGUGUAAAGCCCCUUCGACGAGUCGAGUUGUUUGGGAAUGCAGCUCUAAAUGGGAGGUAAAUUUCUUCUAAAGCUAAAUACUGGCCAGAGACCGAUAGCGCACAAGUAGAGUGAUCGAAAGAUGAAAAGCACUUUGGAAAGAGAGUUAAAAAGCACGUGAAAUUGUUGAAAGGGAAGCGCUUGCAGCCAGACUUGCCUGUAGUUGCUCAUCCGGGUUUUUACCCGGUGCACUCUUCUAUAGGCAGGCCAGCAUCAGUUUGGGCGGUUAGAUAAAGGUCUCUGUCAUGUACCUCUCUUCGGGGAGAACUUAUAGGGGAGACGAAAUGUAACCAGCCUGGACUGAGGUCCGCGCAUCUGCUAGGAUGCUGGCGUAAUGGCUGUAAGCGGCCCGUCUUGAAACACGGACCAAGGAGUCUAACAUCUAUGCGAGUGUUUGGGUGUCAAGCCCGAGCGCGUAAUGAAAGUGAACGGAGGUGGGAACCUUUCGGGGUGCACCAUCGACCGAUCCUGAUGUCUUCGGAUGGAUUUGAGUAAGAGCAUAGCUGUUGGGACCCGAAAGAUGGUGAACUAUGCUUGAAUAGGGUGAAGCCAGAGGAAACUCUGGUGGAGGCUCGCAGCGGUUCUGACGUGCAAAUCGAUCG